This is a long non-coding RNA of Passer domesticus (house sparrow), 1528 nucleotides long. RefSeq lists it as uncharacterized. The transcript is spliced from 4 exons. NCBI's taxonomy places the organism in Eukaryota, Metazoa, Chordata, Aves, Passeriformes, Passeridae. The record is from RefSeq and is a predicted model, not a curated record.
GGUGCCUCCAACCAACGUGAGAAAGAGCUGUUGAGAUCAGGUUCCUGCUUGGAUUGUAUCACCCCUGGAAGCAGAGCUUCAGCCCUAGGGGGUGAGGCAAGGCAGCUGUGUGAGAUGAACAAUGGCCAGGGGUGCCCAGUCUGAGGAAGAAGUGCAGAGCAGCAGAGGGAGGCUGCUGUUUCUCUCUGCCACCUGAAAUUAGUCUGCAUUAAGCCAGAAUGAGCAGUAUGGGAACCAGACCAAGUAACCAAGAGCUGCAGGGUGAAAAGCUGGGAAAAUCUGAAAAACUCCCCAGAUAUUCUGAAGGCUACUGAGGACUGAAAUCAAGCAGACCCAUCAGCCAGUCCUAAACUACUCUGAUGGAACUCUGACAGCCACCUCAGCAACCACAUGGCUCAGUCCUCAUGGCAGGGUCCUUGCAGAGAACACAGUUCCAUUUGAAAGAGUUCAUCAGGUGAGUGCAGAGACAAAGCCAAGGGUCACUCUUGCUCAGAGCUUGCCAGCAUCGCUUAAUAACCCUUAUAUGACAGGCAUGCAGCUCCUCUUGCUCUCUCUAGCUCAGUGUGUAAUUCCUCCAACAGAUAUUUUGUUCUCAACAAUAACAUGUUCCUGCCAUGCUCCACAGGGUUCGGACACCAAGCUGUGACUGCGAGCUCCCAUGGAGGCUGAGGGGGUAUUUGACUGUUAGGAAGCACAUUCAUAUGGUUUGGAAGGUAGUUUCCUUAUAAACAGUAACUUUGGAAGAGAAUUAAGGUGUUUACUUUUCACCUGUAAGUACAAUUAAGGCUAAUCCCCUGCAGUUGUAUAUUUGUACUGGGAGUGCUGGUUUUCUUUACUAACUCAGGUCUGCACAUAACAGCAUUUAAAAAUAUGAUGAGGAGUGUAGCUUAUUUUGUUCAUGGUCAUGCUGUAUGUUUUCUCUUUAAAUAAGGUUGAAGAAAGAAUCUCUUUUAAAGGUUGACGCCGGGAGAUGUUUUCUUGUGGUUACUUGAAGCAAGGUGUAGACUUUAAUGCCAAAAGAAAGGGUCCCCCACCUUGUCAAUGAAUCCUAUAAUCAGGUUGCAAUAGUAACAGAUUACAGCUGUCAUGUUUCUUUUUCUCCAGGUUCUGAUUUCUCUCCCUAUCUCUGGUUUUCUUCUAGUAAGAGAUACCCGGUGUCUCAUUUUGCUCAGGUCAGGCAGGAGAACUUAGAUAGGCCAAGAGUUUCCAUUACAUUUAUCUAAUCUCCUGUCUUUUCCAGCUAACCUAAAUGAGUGCCAUACAAGUACUGAACCUACAUUUGCAUGUGUGGCAGUUUGAGAAAAACAAAACCUUAAUUCUAGAAGUUUUCCUGAAACUGGUACACAAGUUUUCCUGAAACACACCUUUUCUGUAAGUGACAGAAAUAGUUAAGGCAAAACUUUUCUACAACAGCACUUUUUUACUAUAAGUUGAUGGCAAACCAUUAAUGCCAAACUCUCAGAGCUGUCCUUGAAGUCCUGCUACAGUCCCACUCCCCUGUGAGAGGGAUGUGAGAGGGAUGUGAGAU